UGCGUAGGCGGAAUAUUAAGUCAGUGGUGAAAUCCUGCGGCUCAACCGUAGAACUGCCAUUGAUACUGAUAUUCUUGAAUGUAGUUGAGGUAGGCGGAAUGUGUAAUGUAGCGGUGAAAUGCUUAGAUAUUACACAGAACACCGAUUGCGAAGGCAGCUUACUAAACUAUGAUUGGCGCUGAGGCACGAAAGCGUGGGGAGCGAACAGGAUUAGAUACCCUGGUAGUCC
RNAcentral lists this ribosomal RNA (229 nucleotides) under uncultured bacterium. RNAcentral describes it as "partial 16S ribosomal RNA". It matches the Rfam family "Bacterial small subunit ribosomal RNA", at positions 568 to 796 of the family's 1533-position model. The record is from RNAcentral.